RNAcentral lists this long non-coding RNA (273 nucleotides) under Populus tremula. RNAcentral describes it as "long non-coding RNA (PTRE_LNC000479)". Lineage: Eukaryota; Viridiplantae; Streptophyta; Magnoliopsida; Malpighiales; Salicaceae. The record is from RNAcentral.
GUGUAGGUGGUGGUUGUUGUGGUUGGGUGGCCGCAACCAUGGCGGUUCUCUUCUUCUUUGUUAUUAUUGUUGUUUUUUUUAGGAUCAAGAGAAUUGCUUGCAGAUCGAUAAACCAAUAUGCAGCAGCUCUAGUUGGGAGUGGAUCGCGCGAGUAAUAAUAAAUCUAAAUAAGUAGAGAUUGAGAGAGAGGCGAUCCUCCAAGAAUACUUAUUUGCAACGGAGGUUAUAAUUAUUAUUUAUUAUUAGAGGUUAAAAGAAGAAGAGAAGAGGAAG